Molecule: long non-coding RNA, 239 nt
Organism: Arabidopsis thaliana (thale cress)
Lineage: Eukaryota; Viridiplantae; Streptophyta; Magnoliopsida; Brassicales; Brassicaceae
Product: other RNA
Exons: 1
Source: RefSeq
GGGUAGAGAAUAAAUAAUGCUGGCCCAAUAGAAAUACUUCUAAUUUGAGCCCAUAAUAAUUCUGGCCCAUAGUAUUUCUACGUCCACUGUCCAGCUACUCUAUAUACCUUGUUGCAGAAGCCAUACGACACAGAGCAUUGGCAUUGCCUUCUGUUUCAUCUCUAUCUAGUGUUAUCUAAUUGGUUAUGUUUGACAAUCUAGGGGCAGAAACGUACUUGUCGAACUCUUGCGGCUAUGAU